GACGAACGCUGGCGGCGUGCUUAACACAUGCAAGUCGAACGGAAACGCCCUACUUUUGUGGGGUGCUCGAGUGGCGAACGCGUGAGUAACACGUGUGUAACCUGCCCUUGUCUUUGGGAUAACUUCACGUAACUGGGGCUAAUAUCGGAUAGGAGCCCCUGCUGCAUGGUGGGCGUUGGAAAGUUUCGGCGGUUGGGGAUGGACUCGCGGCUUAUCAGCUUGUUGGUGGGGUAGUGGCUUACCCAGGCUUUGACGGGUAGGCGGCCUGGGAGAGUGACCGGGCACCAGAGGACUGAGAGACGGCCCAGACGGGUAUGGGAGGCAGUAGGGGGGAACAUUGCACAAUGAGAGGGAGUCUGAUGAAGAGGCGCCGCGUGCGGGAUGACGGCCUGCGGGUUGUAAACAGCUUUCGCCUGUGACGAAGCGGGAGUGACGGUACUGAGUAAAGAAGCACCGGCUAACUACGUG
RNAcentral lists this ribosomal RNA (468 nucleotides) under uncultured bacterium. RNAcentral describes it as "partial 16S ribosomal RNA". It matches the Rfam family "Bacterial small subunit ribosomal RNA", at positions 28 to 507 of the family's 1533-position model. The record is from RNAcentral.